CAAAGUUUCAUUUCUUCAGUGUUGUCCCAUGAAAAGAUAUAAUAAAAUAUUUGCAGAAAUGUGAGGGGUGUACUCACUUUUGUGACAUACUGUAUCUUCAUUAUACUGUCUUCAUUUUGAAUGAGCUAAUGGCUAACUAGCUCAUUGGCACGAGGAGCCCCCACACGUAGGCCUGCUGGCCCCCAGCAAAGGACUUGAUAUGCUGUACAAGAUACAAGAUAUCAAGCAAACCUUUCCUUGAGUCUUACAUGAAUGUGAGGUGGAUGGAGAUGUGUCGACUCCACUAUCCCUUCACCCCAGUUAUCGCCAGUUGGUGGCGAGCCUCCACUCUUGCCGACUACAUCCCAUUCAUCAGGUUCGACAAUUUAUCCUUCAGCCCACAAGAGGAACCCAACAGAACCAAUGGAUCAGGAUGAAGCAUGACAGAAAGUCGGUGGUGUUUUGAGGGCCAAUCCGAAAGGUGAGGAAAUCUUCAAGGAGUGCACCAAGACUGAAACACUAACCGAUGCAAGGUGUAAACAGAUGGUGAACAUCCUGGUUGCAGAUAUGAUGGAGCUGCAUGGGAGGGUUCCGCCAUCAUGUGUGAUGAGAAAUUACGCCCUGAGACUUGUGACUUGUUUUCCAUACAUCAAAGAUCCAUUCUCCAAACCUGGAUAUGAUGCUUAGCUUAGCGGCAGUGGCUCAGGAGGUAGAGCAGGUCAUCCAGAAAUCGUAAGGUUGGUUGAUCCUUGCUCCCUCCACCCAGUCACUGUUGUGUCCUACACUUCUCCUGGCUCUCAAAGCCGUUCCAAGACUGUUUCUUCAGGAUGGUCCAAAAACCAGAGGAGAACAUCUGUUAACUGGUCAACAGCUGCUUGGUGAGGAGUGCAAGGAGGCACUAUCUACAAUAAGACAUUCAACCGAUGAAUCCGUGGUCAAAGAAGAUGAGAGCAACUUUCCAGUAUCGACAGAAUAUGAUCCAAGCAGAAGAUGUAUCAUCGUCUGUCCUCAAUGUGUUCCCUCACUUCCUUGAUGUUCCUGGAUUGAUUGACCAGGAUUUCUCAAUGAUGUUUGCUGAUGAAGUAUCUCAGAGGUUCCUGGCUAAGUGGUCAACUGUCUUCAAAGCAAAAGUCAUUGCAGACUGCAAGACUCUCCCGCAAAAGCAGAACAUUGAUGAGUUGCUGUCAGGAACUGAACCUCAACCUGAUGACAGCUGUGGCUGGGGCAGUGAUACAUCCUCCAUCCUUCUACACCUGCAUCUGCUCCUCCGACCUCUAGAGGCCAGGAAAAAACAGCAAAGAUCAGUUUGUCAAGCAGCCAACCAUCUUCUCAGACAUCUUAAGGAAGGAGCCAGUGUGACCCCCUUCCAAGACUGUUGACACAAGACAAGCAUUUCUCCUCUGCAUCAGUGAGCGAAGGUGACAUCCAGAGGUUCUACAUUAUUGACCAAAAGCCGGUUCCAUGCAAGGCACAUACAUUUAUUGCAGCUUUUGAUGAACUGUUCGAAGCUCACUACGUCUUCAGUCUCUCGUAUGGUUAAAAAUGGAUAAGAGCAAACAUUUGGGUCUGAAUGCUGCCCAGUCAUGGUGUCUUCUAUGUAACACUCCACUUCUAUUUGGUGAUGGCACUGAAAGGAAGAAUGAUCACUGGAACUUCCUCCUCCUUUUGAUGCAGAUUGUCAACAUACCUGUAGUGUUCUCGUACACCAUAACUGAUGGAAUGAUGCUUUACUUACAACAUCUGAUAAGUGACCCCCACACUCGGUACAAAGCAUUGCUUCCUGGUAAGAAGUUGAUUCCCAAGCACUGCUUGAUACACUAUCCAAGAUGCAUACAAAACAUUGGCCCUCUUAUCCAUACGUGGUGCAAGUGUUUUGAAGCCAAACACAAUUCUUUCAAAAGGUGUGGUUAAAAUGUUUAAAAAUCUCAGUCGUUUGUCGUGGCCUUUCACUAUGAAAAUUAUUAUUUUAGAAGAUUUGCAUUUGGCCCUACAACAUGAAAAACAAUCUGCAACUUGAAAGGUGGGGAGGAACGUGGUCAGGCAUGAUGUCUGCAAGCAUCUUCAAGUGUGUCAAGUACCAACUGGGUGAGAAGUUACGGUAUAGAUUACCAUGUUGGUGUGUUCAUAUGUACUGGAUGUAGCUUUGAUCUACCUGUGUUCAAGAAGAUCUGGGAUAUAAUAAAACACAAAGAAUGUGCUUUCAUAAGAGCCUGUAAUGUAGAAAGGAUGUACUAUGAUGACCUGUUUAACGCGUACUGCAUAGAAGACCAAAUGCUUGAGUUUUCUGUCAUGUGUUUACAUGAACUGACUCAUUUCAGACCAUUUGACAAGCAGUGCUCUAAUGACAGUUGUCAAAGAGCAAACAUACUGUAGUGCCCUGCUGUUAUUUAAGCUGUCUGUUGGAAAUGAAAUGUUUUUGAAUAAAAUGUA
Long non-coding RNA from Dunckerocampus dactyliophorus (ringed pipefish), 2409 nucleotides. RefSeq lists it as uncharacterized. The record is from RefSeq and is a predicted model, not a curated record. NCBI's taxonomy places the organism in Eukaryota, Metazoa, Chordata, Actinopteri, Syngnathiformes, Syngnathidae. The transcript is spliced from 9 exons.